This 460-nucleotide ribosomal RNA is filed under the name uncultured bacterium. RNAcentral's name for it is "partial 16S ribosomal RNA". It matches the Rfam family "Bacterial small subunit ribosomal RNA", at positions 338 to 795 of the family's 1533-position model. The record is from RNAcentral.
CCUACGGGUGGCAGCAGUGAGGAAUAUUGGUCAAUGGACGGGAGUCUGAACCAGCCAUGCCGCGUGCGUGAGGAAGGAUCUGAGUAUUGUAAACUGCUUUUGUACGAGAAUAAUAAUUCUGACGCGUAGUGAGUUGCAUGUAUCGUCAGAAUAAGAAUCGGCUAGCUCCGUGCCAGCAGCCGCGGUAAUACGGAGGAUGCGAGCGUUAUCCGGAUUGAUUAGGUUUAUAGGGUGCGUCGGCUGUCUGAUAAGUCAGAGGUGAAAUGCCGGGGCUUAACCCCGUGCCUGCGUUUGAUACUGUACGACUAGAGAGCGGAUGCAGUAGGCGGAAUGAGUAGUGUAGCGGUGAAAUGCGUAGAUAUUACGCAGAACACCGAUGGCGAAGGCAGCUUGCUAGCCCGCAACUGACGCUGAUGCACGAAAGCGUGGGUAGCGAACAGGAUUAGAUACCCGUGUAGUC